AUUGAACGCUGGCGGCAGGCUUAACACAUGCAAGUCGAGCGGAGAUGAGGUGCUUGCACCUUAUCUUAGCGGCGGACGGGUGAGUAAUGCUUAGGAAUCUGCCUAUUAGUGGGGGACGACAUUCCGAAAGGAAUGCUAAUACCGCAUACGUCCUACGGGAGAAAGCAGGGGAUCUUCGGACCUUGCGCUAAUAGAUGAGCCUAAGUCGGAUUAGCUAGUUGGUGGGGUAAAGGCCUACCAAGGCGACGAUCUGUAGCGGGUCUGAGAGGAUGAUCCGCCACACUGGGACUGAGACACGGCCCAGACUCCUACAGGAGGCAGCAGUGGGGAAUAUUGGACAAUGGGGGAAACCCUGAUCCAGCCAUGCCGCGUGUGUGAAGAAGGCCUUAUGGUUGUAAAGCACUUUAAGCGAGGAGGAGGCUACUGAGACUAAUACUCUUGGAUAGUGGACGUUACUCGCAGAAUAAGCACCGGCUAACUCUGUGCCAGCCGCCGCGGUAA
This 501-nucleotide ribosomal RNA is filed under the name uncultured bacterium. RNAcentral describes it as "partial 16S ribosomal RNA". It matches the Rfam family "Bacterial small subunit ribosomal RNA", at positions 30 to 523 of the family's 1533-position model. The record is from RNAcentral.